RNAcentral lists this transfer RNA (78 nucleotides) under Candidatus Hydrogenedentota bacterium. RNAcentral's name for it is "tRNA-Val". It matches the Rfam family "tRNA". Rfam says of the family: Transfer RNA (tRNA) molecules are approximately 80 nucleotides in length. Their secondary structure includes four short double-helical elements and three loops (D, anti-codon, and T loops). The record is from RNAcentral. Lineage: Bacteria; Pseudomonadati; Candidatus Hydrogenedentota.
GGGCGGUUAGCUCAGCUUGGUUAGAGCGCCACGUUGACAUCGUGGAGGUCGCUGGUUCGAUCCCAGUAUCGCCCACCA